AGAGUUUGAUCCUGGCUCAGAGUGAUCGCUGGCGGCGUGCUUAACACAUGCAAGUCGAGCGAGAUUUGACAGCGUAUCGUCAGGUCUAGCGGCAGACGGGUGAGUAAUACUUGGGCAAUCUGCCCUCUAGUGGGGGACAACCGGCCGAAAGGCUGGCUAAUACCCCAUAAGACCACAGGGAUGCAUAUCCUAGGGGUCAA
RNAcentral lists this ribosomal RNA (200 nucleotides) under uncultured bacterium. RNAcentral describes it as "partial 16S ribosomal RNA". It matches the Rfam family "Bacterial small subunit ribosomal RNA", at positions 8 to 204 of the family's 1533-position model. The record is from RNAcentral.